RNAcentral lists this ribosomal RNA (922 nucleotides) under uncultured marine crenarchaeote. RNAcentral describes it as "bacterial SSU rRNA". It matches the Rfam family "Archaeal small subunit ribosomal RNA", at positions 21 to 903 of the family's 1478-position model. The record is from RNAcentral. Lineage: Archaea; Thermoproteati; Thermoproteota.
AGGCCACUGCUAUUGGGGUUCGGCUAAGCCAUGCGAGUGGAGGGCGCGGUCGAAAGAUCGUGGCCCCGCACACGGCUCAGUAACACGCCGUUAAUCUACCCUCGGGUCAGGGACAACUUCGGGAAACUGAGGAUAAUCCCUGAUGGACAAAGGAUGCUGGAAUGCCUCUUUGUCGAAAGCUCAGGCGCCCGAGGAUGAGACGGUGCCCUAUCAGGCUGUUGGUGGUGUAAAGGACCACCAAACCUACAACGGGUACGGGCGAUGGUAGUCGGAGCCCGGAGAUGGGGACUGAGACAAGGCCCCAGGCCCUACGGGGCGCAGCAGGCGCGAAAACUCCGCAAUGCGCUCAUGCGUGACGGGGGAACCCCAAGUGUCGCUGAUCUUCCGAUCGGCGAUUUUUCAAGAGUGUAAGGAGCUCUUGGAAUAAGGGCUGGGUAAGGCUGGUGCCAGCCGCCGCGGUAAUACCAGCAGCCCAAGUGGUGGUCGCGAUUAUUGGGCCUAAAGCGCUCGUAGCCGGGUUAGUAAGUCCCUUGUGAAAUCGGGUCGCCUAACGAUUCGGCUUGCAAGGGAGACUACUGAUCUUGAGGCCGGGAGACGCCGAGGGUACUCCAGGGGUAGCGGUGAAAUGCUGUAAUCCUUGGGGGACUACCAGUGGCGAAGGCGCUCGGCGAGCACGGACCUGACGGUGAGGGGCGAAGGCUAGGGGCACGAACGGGAUUAGAUAUUGCUGGAGCUAUUGCUUGGCAACUAAUAACCCCGGUAGUCCUAGCUGUAAAGUAUGCGGGCUGGGUGCUCGGAGCCCCUCGAGAGCUCCAAGUGCCGUAGGGAAGCUGUUAAGCCCGCCGCCUGGGAAGUACGGUCGCAAGGCUGAAACUUAAAGAAAUUGACGGGGGAGCACCACAAGGGGUGGAGCCUGCGGUUC